GCAUUUGGGACAAUGGGGGCAACCCUGAUCCAGCCAUCCCGCGUGUGCGAUGAAGGCCUUCGGGUUGUAAAGCACUUUUGGCAGGGCAGAAAAGGCUCUGGCUAAUACCUGGAGCUGCUGACGGUACCUGCAGAAUACGCACCGGCUAACCACGUGCCAGCAUCCGCGGUAAUACGUAGGGUGCCAGCGUUAAUCGGAAUUACUGGGCGUAAAGCGUGCGCAGGCGGUUCGGCAAGAAGGAUGUGAAAUCCCAGGGCUUAACCGUGGAACUGCAUUCUUAACUGCCGGGCUAGAGUAUGUCAGAGGGGGGUAGAAUUCCGCGUGUAGCAGUGAAAUGCGUAGAGAUGCGGAGGAAUACCGAUGGCGAAGGCAGCCCCCUGGGAUAAUACUGACGCUCAUGCACGAAAGCGUGGGGAGCAAAC
Molecule: ribosomal RNA, 422 nt
Filed under: uncultured bacterium
Lineage: Bacteria
Description: bacterial SSU rRNA
Rfam family: Bacterial small subunit ribosomal RNA
Source: RNAcentral